UACGUAGGGGGCUAGCGUUGUCCGGAUUUAUUGGGCGUAAAGAGCGUGUAGGCGGCCAGGUAGGUCUGCUGUGAAAACUGGAGGCUCAACCUUCAGAGGUCGACCGAAACCCCCUGGCUAGAGUCCGGGAGAGGAGAGUGGAAUUCCUGGUGUAGCGGUGAAAUGCGCAGAUAUCAGGAAGAACACCCGUGGCGAAAGCGGCUCUCUGGAACGGUACUGACGCUGAGACGCGAAAGCGUGGGGAGCGAACAGG
This 253-nucleotide ribosomal RNA is filed under the name uncultured bacterium. Its description in RNAcentral is "partial 16S ribosomal RNA". It matches the Rfam family "Bacterial small subunit ribosomal RNA", at positions 524 to 776 of the family's 1533-position model. The record is from RNAcentral.